AGAAAAGAAGAUCACUCAGCUGCAUCUCGAGAAUCAGCAGAACAGCCAACUGGGGCAUCAAAAUAAAAAAAAAAUCAAUCAAAAAAAAAGAAAUCAAUCAAAAUCAAAAGAAAUCAAAAGAAAUCAAAAGAAAUCAAAAGAAAGAAAAAGAAAGAAAAAAAAAACAAAAGAAAGAUAGCACCCUCAAAGUCCCAAGUUGGCUGAUGCUGAAUUC
RNAcentral lists this long non-coding RNA (214 nucleotides) under Lathyrus oleraceus (garden pea). RNAcentral describes it as "Pisum sativum (pea) long non-coding RNA (PSAT_LNC041470)". The record is from RNAcentral. Lineage: Eukaryota; Viridiplantae; Streptophyta; Magnoliopsida; Fabales; Fabaceae.